RNAcentral lists this long non-coding RNA (692 nucleotides) under Gallus gallus (chicken). Its description in RNAcentral is "lncRNA (ENSGALG00010023985.1)". Lineage: Eukaryota; Metazoa; Chordata; Aves; Galliformes; Phasianidae. The record is from RNAcentral.
GUAAUUUUUACUUAGUAUUGAUUAAGUGCUUUGAUAAGCACUGUACUAGAGUUAAACUUAUCAUUCAGAACUAUACUAUGGGUUCCAAAAUCAGGUACUAAUGGGACUUACUGAGAUACAGAAGAUGCAUCCUUAGCUGCUCUGCACUUUUAUUCAUGAGGUGAAGCAGAGCAGCCAGGGAGGUUCUUAUGAAAGAGACAUUUUAGAUUUCCCAGGUUAGAAGAAAAUCCUGCAGCAGCCAUGAUUAUAUAUACGUCCUUUCCCUCUAUGCAAAUCAUGGGAUUUGUGUCCUGCAGAUAGUGACAUCACUGUGCACCACCAGUUGGGAUUCCUGUGAGCUGGCUCUGCUCCUAGAAGUGGUAAUACCACCACUCUAAGGCAACAAUAAAGCCUGCUUAAAGCGACCUCUGCUUUAACCACUAGAUCUUCAUCGAGGCAGAGAGGGUCUGACGGUGUUUCAGAAGUGAGAAGCUUUCCAUGCUGGCACUGUGAGCAGCCUUUGACCGAGGGGUGAGAGCCUCACCAUCCUGCACACGGAGUCCCAAGCAGCCUUAGAUUCCCUCCCAGCUGACAUCAAUGGCGGAACUUCUACGGGCUCAGCAAGGACAACUGCAAUUGUAAACAACAAAAACAGAAAUGAGUUUUUUGCUCCGCGGUAUGAAGCCAUUUUUAUAGAUUUCCAGAAUCAGCAG